GAGAUGCUAAGUAUAGACUACUUUGGAUGAUGAUUAUAUAUAUGUUGACAUAUCAUGUGAUGCUAGUAAUAUAUGUGCAUGAUGACAUAUUGUGAAUUAACAUAUUGUGGAUUAUGUUAAAUAGAAACAUAUACAUGAUGACAUAUAUUGCAUAUGAUAGAAGAAUUAUACAUGUUGCCAUAUUGUGGAACAUAGUGGAUGGAUUAUGCAUGUUGAACUUGGUCGAUUAGAGAAAUUGACAUUGGAAAACAAGAACACAUCGAGUGGCAUUAAUGUAGUGUAUUUGACACUAGAGGUUUGAGAA
RNAcentral lists this long non-coding RNA (304 nucleotides) under Ananas comosus (pineapple). Its description in RNAcentral is "long non-coding RNA (ACOM_LNC034832)". Lineage: Eukaryota; Viridiplantae; Streptophyta; Magnoliopsida; Poales; Bromeliaceae. The record is from RNAcentral.